This 1130-nucleotide long non-coding RNA is filed under the name Erythranthe guttata (spotted monkey flower). Its description in RNAcentral is "long non-coding RNA (EGUT_LNC000542)". The record is from RNAcentral. Lineage: Eukaryota; Viridiplantae; Streptophyta; Magnoliopsida; Lamiales; Phrymaceae.
UUUGAUAUCCAAAGUAUUGAUAUCGGGUCUCGUCACGAUGUUGGCGUGGUUCGUAUCAUUUGGUACUCAGAGCCAUCUUCCUAAGAAGGUUUCGCCUAUCCUUUCUCUUUAUUUUUGAGUCAGUCUUUUGUUUUUUUUUUUCGUGUCUUCGUUUUGUUUUUCGUUUCGUGUCUAUUGUUGUUGAGUCUUCUAGUCUUUUGUUUUGUUUGUCUAGAGUCCACAAAAAAAAAAUCGAAAAAAAAGAAAAAAAUGAAAGAACGAGUGAGUUUUGUUAUUCGUUAAUCUCAAGAACUCUAUUAAGUUUCUUUGUUGUGGGGUCAACAUUAUAACUUUGGUUCGUGGUUCUAUAUAGCCAUUGGGUCAAGUUGGUUGUUCCAUACUUUUGGUUUGCGUUUCUAUACAAACGUUAGGUCGGAGUGCUAACAAGAAAAAUUUAAUCUUGUUUAUUGGAUGGUGAAUUUCAUUAUUAUUUGUUCGUUAAAAAAAAAAAAAAAAAGAGAAGUUCCAAAUACAGCGAAGAACUUUCUGCCUCAUGGACUCGCUUUCAAUACUACACGCUCAUUCAAUACUACACGCUUAUUUAUUAGUUUCCUUAUUAUAGAUUAGGUAAGAGUCCUUUUCCUUGUGAAAAAUGAGUUUUUUUUGAUCUUAUAAAUAUGAAGCCAAUUUGGCUGAUAUUAAGGGACGAAUUUUAAUGAUUAAAUGGAGUUUAUUCUCUUUGGUUCUUUAAGAACUGUUCGAACAUUUCGGUGGAUUCCGUUUGUUCACCCCGACUUAUCAAUCGAUCUUCCGCAAUCGAUUGUGGCGUCUUCACAUACCAAGGUUCUUGCCUCUUUAUAGGCAAUGGGUCGCGGUUCCACCCUUUGAUUCCUUCUUUGGACGGUCCGGGAUUUGAUAUCCGAAGUAUUGAUAUCGGGUCUCGUCACGAUGUUGGCGUGGUUCGUAUCAUUUGGUACUCAGAGCCAUCUUCCUAAGAAGGUUUCGCCUAUCCUUUCUCUUUAUUUUUGAGUCAGUCUUUUGUUUUUUUUUUCGUGUCUUCGUUUUGUUUUUCGUUUCGUGUCUAUUGUUGUUGAGUCUUCUAGUCUUUUGUUUUGUUUGUCUAGAGUCCACAAAAAAAAAUCGAAAAAAAA